RNAcentral lists this unclassified non-coding RNA (145 nucleotides) under soil metagenome. Its description in RNAcentral is "partial internal transcribed spacer 1". The record is from RNAcentral.
UAAUAAGUGUUUUAUGGCACUUUUUAAAUCCAUAUCCACCUUGUGUGCAAUGUCAGUCGAUCUUCUUCAUGGAGAUCGACCAAACAUCAACCUUUAUCUUUUAACUUUUUGUCUGAAAAAUAUUAUGAAUAAACAAUUCAAAAUA